UACGGGGGGAACAAGCGUUGUUCGGAUUUACUGGGCGUAAAGGGCGUGUAGGCGGAUUACCAAGUCAGAGGUGAAAACCGCAGGCUUAACCUGCGGCCUGCCUUUGAAACUGUUAAUCUUGAGUACGGGAGAGGAAAGCGGAAUUCCAGGUGUAGCGGUGACAUGCGUAGAUAUCUGGAAGAACAUCGGUGGCGAAGGCGGCUUUCUGGACCGAUACUGACGCUGAGGCGCGAAAGCCAGGGGAGCAAACAGGAUUAGAUACCCGCGUA
This 269-nucleotide ribosomal RNA is filed under the name uncultured prokaryote. RNAcentral describes it as "partial 16S ribosomal RNA". It matches the Rfam family "Bacterial small subunit ribosomal RNA", at positions 524 to 792 of the family's 1533-position model. The record is from RNAcentral.